Long non-coding RNA from Boleophthalmus pectinirostris (great blue-spotted mudskipper), 228 nucleotides. RefSeq lists it as uncharacterized. The transcript is spliced from 3 exons. NCBI's taxonomy places the organism in Eukaryota, Metazoa, Chordata, Actinopteri, Gobiiformes, Gobiidae. The record is from RefSeq and is a predicted model, not a curated record.
GGAUGAUGACUCUUCCUUUAGCUGUUCUGAUGAGAGCCCAAAGAGUUCGUCAGAUACGUCAGAUUCUACUGAAGCUGAUGAGCUUCAAAGACAAUUUGCCAAUUUGUGUAUUUGGUCUGAGGAGGGUAUCGUCAGUAUGUAAAGCCAGAGCCACGAAAUUCUGAAGACAUUGAGCUGGAUUGAAAAAAGGCACUCAAGAGGAUUUACCCAGUUCCCCCCAAGCGUAAC